This 29-nucleotide small RNA is filed under the name Bombyx mori (domestic silkworm). RNAcentral's name for it is "ovarian small RNA-2406". Lineage: Eukaryota; Metazoa; Arthropoda; Insecta; Lepidoptera; Bombycidae. The record is from RNAcentral.
UUGCUGAUAUGCCUUAACGAGGUCGAUGG